RNAcentral lists this long non-coding RNA (225 nucleotides) under Elaeis guineensis (African oil palm). Its description in RNAcentral is "long non-coding RNA (EGUI_LNC016906)". The record is from RNAcentral. Lineage: Eukaryota; Viridiplantae; Streptophyta; Magnoliopsida; Arecales; Arecaceae.
UAUAAUGACAUUGAUUACAAAGGGGAUAUUUCUUGCAUUAAUCAGAAAGAUCAAAUAAUCUUUUCACCUGAGGCACCUAAAUGAAAAUAUAUCGGAUUUUUACUAUUCUUUUUUUUGAAAGAGUGAUUUUUUCGAGAUUUUAAGAAAUUGAGUACUGAAAAUUAUUUUCUCUGUCUGAUUCUCUUAUGUUUAAAUUGGUUGGUGGAUGCAAGUUCUUCCGAUUGA